RNAcentral lists this transfer RNA (71 nucleotides) under Rhipicephalus sanguineus (brown dog tick). RNAcentral's name for it is "transfer RNA lysine (anticodon CUU)". It matches the Rfam family "tRNA". From Rfam's summary of the family: Transfer RNA (tRNA) molecules are approximately 80 nucleotides in length. Their secondary structure includes four short double-helical elements and three loops (D, anti-codon, and T loops). Further hydrogen bonds mediate the characteristic L-shaped molecular structure. tRNAs have two regions of fundamental functional importance: the anti-codon, which is responsible for specific mRNA codon recognition, and the 3' end, to which the tRNAs corresponding amino acid is attached (by aminoacyl-tRNA synthetases). tRNAs cope with the degeneracy of the genetic code in two manners: having more than one tRNA (with a specific anti-codon) for a particular amino acid; and 'wobble' base-pairing, i.e. permitting non-standard base-pairing at the 3rd anti-codon position. Lineage: Eukaryota; Metazoa; Arthropoda; Arachnida; Ixodida; Ixodidae. The record is from Rfam by way of RNAcentral.
GCCCGGCUAGCUCAGUAGUAGAGCAUGAGACUCUUAAUCUCAGGGUCGUGGGUUCGAGCCCACGUUGGGCG